Molecule: long non-coding RNA, 2210 nt
Organism: Chinchilla lanigera (long-tailed chinchilla)
Lineage: Eukaryota; Metazoa; Chordata; Mammalia; Rodentia; Chinchillidae
Exons: 3
Source: RefSeq, a predicted model, not a curated record
GGCCCUGUGUCUCGACUGCACCCCGCUAGACCCCCACCUCUCCCGCUGCUCCGACGAUUCCUGGAUCUUCUCCAGGAUCCCCGGCCUGACUCUUUAAAAGGCAGCCCACGGUCAAAGACGGGACCUCAAAGAGAUGCCCGAGUCCCGCGGUCGCGUCCUCGCGGAGAGAUCUGCUCUGAGUGCCGUGUUUACUGCUAUCCUCACCUUUGACAGCCAGGAAGUGUGAACUGGGUGCCCUCAGCUAACUCAGAGUCCACUGAAGAAAAGGACCAGGACCAGGCUGGGCCUCAGGCAGAGAGAACUGGCGAUCUGGAUCAGAGUUGGGGGUGAGUGACCAAAGAUCCCAGCAGCACCUGACGGUUCCCCUCCCUUCCACCUCAUGCACAAUGUGGAAGGAAAGUGACGUUUACUCACUUGAACUGCUUUUCUCUGAGCACCCUCUUGGAGAUAAAGGACUCUGAGAGACCCCUGGUCCCCUACCAAAGUAUUCUCAGUACUUGUACCAUCAAAGAAUAUGAACAGAAAUGCUCCCCACUGCUCACUGGUCGUCUUCUUGGUCUACAGAGAAGGACCCUGAGAUCAGCGAGGAGGACAUCCGUCUGUGGUCCUUCAGCAAGCAGGGAGAGUGUCCGAGGCCAGCUUCCCAGCCUCCCCAUCCUCAGUCCAACGCUCUUCUCUCUCCCCUCUCUCCUUCUGCUUGUGCCUUCCGUCCUGUGAUGAACCGAGGAGAGGGGAGCUGAAGCAGGCUGCUGCCUGUGCAUGACUAUGUUGUUAUGAGAACCCCAGUGUGUGCGUUUCCUCCCUUCUCUGUUGAAACCUUUGCUUGGCUUGGCUUCUCCCCAAGCACGGAUACAGCUCCCUUUGGAGUGGCGAGUGGAGAGGCUGAGAUGGAGGGCUCUAUUCUCAUGGCAAGAGUUCUCUAUUCCAACCCAUCUAACCCAGAACCAGCCUGGGUCCGAGAGCCUAGGCCGCUGGGGUGGUGCUGUUAGGGCAGACUUGUGGAACAGCAGACCUGUAGGCAUAUUAUAACAGAAGUCAGGGAGCAAUUCGGAGAGGACUGUGACUAUGCUCCUGCUGCCUGUCAUGUAGCUAGCUGCAUUCCUUUAGCCUUGACUGUCUAGGCCCAGAUGGUCCCCCUUAACAAUGUGUGGGGCCAAACUGACUGUGUCUGGCCUGUGUUUUAAAAAUACACUGUGAUUCCAACUUGCUUCAAGGGCUUCAGGGCCGUCAUGUCUGGCAGAAGACUGGUGUAGUCAAGGACACUUUCAGCUCUACCUGCUCUUCUCAGACCCCCUCCUUCCCAGAACGUUCUUGUAUAAACCUGCCUGACAACAUAUGACGUAAUUCUUGUAUUCUGUGUAACCAAUCAGGUAAUAACCUGCUAUCAGCUUUGUACUUUCCACUUGCAAACUGUAUUUAAACUGAACUCAACCUGACUCUGGGCUGGUGAUUUGAGCCUCUAUGUUCCCCAGCCAGCUAGAGUAACAAAAGUUGCCUUUUAACUCCUUGGUGCAAAGUCUUCCACUUGGUUUGAUGUUGGUUUUUCUGCUACAGUGCCACAGUGGCUGGAGGAGGACACGAGGGAAACGUACUGAAAGUGGGCACUCGAGCCCCUUGUUGAGCUUUCUUGGGGCAGAGAGGUACUCCCCCUGCUCUGCAGCCUCCUACCUACAAAUUUACAAGCAAAAUAACCAUUGCUUUAAGAGACCGAGUUUGUCCUACAGCUGGAGAUUGCUUGAACACCCACAUCCUAGGGUUGUGAAAAUGUGUGAUGUGUGAAAGGCACCCGGCACACAGUAAGCACUUUGUAGUACUGUCUUCUCAUCACCUCCACCAUUCUGGUUCAUUCAGUCUUGUUCUGUCUCCGUUGCAUCAGUCAGUUCACACAUUCUUUCACCUGGUUUAAUUGGUUCAAUCGCUUGGCAUAGAACUGACUGGGCAUCUCUUAUAUGCCUAACUUCGGCUUGACAAGAGGCAGCAAAAGCACUGGGCUGGCCAGUGAUGGGUUUGUGUGUUAGUCAUCUGGGGUGCAUUCAAAUGUGCCAACUUUUAUAGAGCUUGUAAAGACCUACAGGGUGACAGAGGUACCAGGGUGUGAGUUAAGUGUCUAAUGUGGGGCACUAGAUCCUACCAAACAAGUCUAAGUCACAACUUGCUUACAUUAUUAUGCUUAAACUAGACCUUCAACAAAAUAAAACACAUUAAACAUA